This is a long non-coding RNA of Cotesia glomerata, 645 nucleotides long. RefSeq lists it as uncharacterized. NCBI's taxonomy places the organism in Eukaryota, Metazoa, Arthropoda, Insecta, Hymenoptera, Braconidae. The record is from RefSeq and is a predicted model, not a curated record. The transcript is spliced from 3 exons.
GUGAGCAUGAGAAGCUGCAAAAGAUAAAUCAACGAUAUCAGAUAAGCUACCUGUUGGUAUUUAUCUUCAGAAGCUAUAAUACAAGUGAUUAAUAAAAGAAAGUAAAAUAAAUAUUGUUGACGCCAACGCUUUCCGGAUUUACCAAAUAAUUUAGGUACACGAGAAAGCUGUCGAAAGUCGGUCAAUCAAGCGACUAGUGCGUCGACCUCGACAAAGGUCUACUGCCAGUACCGGAGAAAGCUCACUGAUUAAACACAUCUGGGUCAUUUGGGUCUGUUUAUUUAUAAAUAUCUGGAUCUAUAAAAGUCAACUGGGUACUAGUCUAUGAGGUAGAUGAAAGCGUGCAAAUAAUUUACCAGGAAGUGUCACUGCCUGUAUUUACGUUUGUUGAACCACCGAGGACAAUAUCUAAUUGCGCAACGCAUCCGGAACUAUUUAAACCGACAGAAUUUCAAUAGAAACAUUAAUUUCUCAUCAUUGAAAUAUUUAUUUGAAAAAAUAAUUCACGUAAAUAGAACCUGAAUAUUUAAAAAACAUAAUGACUAAUAAUAUUUAUUAUUUACAAUGAAAAUCAAUAGCAUGCUGACGAAAUGAAGAGCCACUAGAAUCAAUAAUACUCUUUAUAUUACUAGACACAGAAUAACU